This 504-nucleotide ribosomal RNA is filed under the name uncultured bacterium. Its description in RNAcentral is "bacterial SSU rRNA". It matches the Rfam family "Bacterial small subunit ribosomal RNA", at positions 32 to 511 of the family's 1533-position model. The record is from RNAcentral.
AAUCAACGCUGGCGGCGUGCCUAACACAUGCAAGUCGAACGCGAAAAUGGAGCAAUCCAUGAGUAGAGUGGCAAACGGGUGAGUAACACGUGGGUGACCUGCCUUCGAGUGGGGGAUAACGUCCCGAAAGGGACGCUAAUACCGCAUAAUAUGCUGUCUUUUAAGAGAGAGACAUCAAAGCCGGGGACCGCAAGGCCUGGCGCUUGAAGAGGGGCCCGCGCCUGAUUAGCUAGUUGGUGGGGUAAUGGCUCACCAAGGCAACGAUCAGUAUCCGGCCUGAGAGGGCGGACGGACACACUGGGACUGAGACACGGCCCAGACUCCUACGGGAGGCAGCAGUGGGGAAUUGUUCGCAAUGGGCGCAAGCCUGACGACGCAACGCCGCGUGGAGGAUGAAGAUCUUCGGGUCGUAAGCUCCUUUCGAUCGAGACGAAUGGCCCUUGGGAUAAUACCCUGAGGGAGUGACGGUACCGAGAGAAGAAGCCCCGGCUAACUCCGUGCCAG